AUUUGUGCAUGGGUUAUAGGAAGAAAAGAGAAGAAAGGGUUAUUCUCAUAAUCUCUAGCGUAGAGAUCAAUAUCCUCCUAUGUUCUUCUUCUUCUCUAAGAGUGUCUUGAGAGAAAAGAAAUUUUUCAACCAUCAAGAUGUGAUCUCUGUGAGAGAACUAGUACUCCGGUGAGAUCAAUAAGUUUCUGAUCAAAUCAGAGUCUCGUGUAGAUACCCGUAG
RNAcentral lists this long non-coding RNA (220 nucleotides) under Elaeis guineensis (African oil palm). RNAcentral's name for it is "long non-coding RNA (EGUI_LNC045059)". The record is from RNAcentral. Lineage: Eukaryota; Viridiplantae; Streptophyta; Magnoliopsida; Arecales; Arecaceae.